RNAcentral lists this non-coding RNA (107 nucleotides) under uncultured Flavonifractor sp. RNAcentral's name for it is "FMN riboswitch (RFN element)". It matches the Rfam family "FMN riboswitch aptamer (RFN element)". From Rfam's summary of the family: The RFN element is a highly conserved domain that is found frequently in the 5'-untranslated regions of prokaryotic mRNAs that encode for flavin mononucleotide (FMN) biosynthesis and transport proteins. This element is a metabolite-dependent riboswitch that directly binds FMN in the absence of proteins. In Bacillus subtilis, the riboswitch most likely controls gene expression by causing premature transcription termination within the 5' untranslated region of the ribDEAHT operon and precluding access to the ribosome-binding site of ypaA mRNA. Lineage: Bacteria; Bacillati; Bacillota; Clostridia; Eubacteriales; Oscillospiraceae. The record is from RNAcentral.
AUCUUCAGGGCAGGGUGCAAGUCCCUACCGGUGGUAUAGCCCACGAGCCGUAAGGCAUGAUUCGGUGUAACUCCGAAGCCGACAGUAUAGUCUGGAUGGAAGAAGAU